AGGAACCACUCUAAUUUUUCUCAAUUACAAAGGUCAAACUCAAUUAGACCUGCCUUCAAUCAGCCCAACCUUAGGCCCACUCAAUCAUCAAAUAACCCACCAGGCUUCGACAAUGAUCAAAGACUUAACUCACUGAAAAGGGUUAGAGAUUUUGGUGAAAUCAACUUCUUACUGCAUAAAUAUCUUCAAUGAUUUCAUAAAAACCACAGGUAAUUUCAUACAAACCACGAGCC
RNAcentral lists this long non-coding RNA (233 nucleotides) under Elaeis guineensis (African oil palm). RNAcentral's name for it is "long non-coding RNA (EGUI_LNC055250)". The record is from RNAcentral. Lineage: Eukaryota; Viridiplantae; Streptophyta; Magnoliopsida; Arecales; Arecaceae.